UGUGGAAACCAGGUGAGGGGAAUAAUUUGAUUGGCAGUGAGGAUGAACCAGGAUCUGAAAUGAUAAGAGAAUUACUGACAAGUUCAGUGUGCCAAAUAGUUCCGACUCGCUCACAGUCAACACAGGCCAUGGCUCCGUCACAAGUUUCUGGUAUGAAGAUGAGGAAUCUUCUUUUUGGAGUUAUUCUUGGACUUCUUGCUGUUGUCUACUCAACACCUGUUAAUACUGUGACCCAGAUCUCCGCCAUAGCUGAGGAUGAAAUUAUCAGAGAGGCCGUGACGGACGGGUUCCUCGUGGAAAACUUUUUCCUCCCUUCACUCACAACUGAAUCGUCCAAAAUAAACACGACCAUUCAAGCAACUCAGCAGUCAACCUCCAACUCCAAAGAGAGUGACAUGACUGAGGACAGUGCUAUGGGGGUGACCAACUACAAGUCCACGACCUCUGGGUCCCUCGAUUUGGCAACCACAACUCUGAGUGUUUCACAUGCUCACAGCUCUACCUCCACAGUCUUGCCAUUAAGGGACACCAAUUCAGAUUCAACCACCACCCAAAGCCCUCAGUCUAGCUUUAGCUCUUCAUCAGUGCCAAAUGAAGUCGAGUCAAGCAUCACUCCAGACCACAUCUCACUUUCUCAAACUACUAAUCACCCUGUCUUCAGCUUUGACUCCCUGAGCACCCAGAGUUCUGAAUCGGGGUCUGGAGAUAGAGAGAUGUUUGGCCCGUCCUCUUCUACAAUCCCCAGUAUGACCACCAGCUCCAACACAAAAACUAGCUCUGAAUCAUCAACCUUCACGACUGCUUUUAUCACACAAAAGGCUCCAGGAAUGUUUGGAGGAAGCGAAGGAUCAGGAUUCGACGAAUUGUCUGGAUCAGGAAUGGAGACCCUACUAGUGCCAACCACUACUACAAUGGCAAAAAAGCUAAGAAAGUUGGAUUUGGAAAGUUUCAAUCCUGUUCAACAACUAGUGGAACAACCUGCCACUGCAGGACAACUGAACAAAGGACACCAUACACCAGGCUGGAUCAUCAUCGUUGGUUUUAUUGUUGGGCUGGCAGCACUGGUAAUGCUCUUCGUUGCCAUCGCUACCAGAGACAAGUGGAACGGACCAAGCCAGUCAUCCCAGUUAGAGACCAAAACUAACUUCUUGAACCAGCAGAGGGAGGUAGAGAUGGAGACAUUCCUGCACAAAGACAAGCCCAGGGAGAAUGGAAAGGCGGAAGAGUACACAGUCAUCCCCCUGGACGAGCUUCCAGAGAAACAUUCAUCACAGUGAGGUUCAGACACAGACUCUCACGAGGUUUGAGACUCAUCACAGAACCAUAAGACUGUGUUUGAAGCAGAUGGAUUUGAUCAGAGGAAGAAAACUGUCAGGGCUUUUGAGCGAAAAGGUUUCUGUGAACUUUCACAAAUCUGAGCCCAGUCUGAACCACAAUCAUAGACUGGCUUUUCCUGCUGACUAGGAAAAACUCUACUUGUACCUUUACUUUGAAAAUACAGCAAUACUUGUGUUGGUGCAUUUAUUGCCAUUGUGUUAACUGAAGAAUACUGUUUGAUUCAUAAAUGCCAUUUAUUUCAAAAAAUGACUUUACAGUGUUUUAUUUCCAGUUUUUUUGUAAAUAAUUAAUGUUUUUUUUUUUUAUAUCUCACAGGUCUGUUAGUGGACAUAAGAACAUUAUUCUGUGAAAAAGUGUCUUUGUUUUAAUAUUGCUUUCUUUGUAAUAACGUUAUGUUGUGGAUUGUAAUUUAUAUUAAGCUGCUCUGUUGUUUCAUUAAAGAUGCUCUGAGUACUGAACAGUGCCCGGCUCACUAACUCAUUGACAACCUACGCCGCACUGGUAACAUGCAAUUAUUGUUUGUUCAUAUGCUGUAAGACACGUGCCCUUCAUCUGUGAAAUAAACACAAUGGUGGCUCGUCAUCAAUAAACAUUUAUUUGUUUCCAUUAAUAUUUACACACAAGUAUUAAAACAUUUACACACUUUCAGUCCAUUUG
Molecule: long non-coding RNA, 1995 nt
Organism: Cottoperca gobio
Lineage: Eukaryota; Metazoa; Chordata; Actinopteri; Perciformes; Bovichtidae
Product: serine-rich adhesin for platelets-like
Source: Ensembl